Non-coding RNA from Balaenoptera ricei (Rice's whale), 72 nucleotides. The record is from the annotation of a RefSeq genome assembly. Lineage: Eukaryota; Metazoa; Chordata; Mammalia; Artiodactyla; Balaenopteridae.
UCCUUGGUGGUCCAGUGGUUAGGACUCGUCACUUUUGCUGCCGGGGCCCAGGUUCAAUCCCUGGUUGGGGAA